This 392-nucleotide ribosomal RNA is filed under the name uncultured bacterium. Its description in RNAcentral is "bacterial SSU rRNA". It matches the Rfam family "Bacterial small subunit ribosomal RNA", at positions 975 to 1363 of the family's 1533-position model. The record is from RNAcentral.
CUGGGCUAGAAAACACGAGAAUCCGGGCGAAAGUUCGGAGUGCCUUUCGGGGAACUCGUGGUUAGGUGCUGCAUGGCUGUCGUCAGCUCGUGUCGUGAGAUGUUGGGUUAAGUCCCGCAACGAGCGCAACCCUCGGCCUUAGUUGCCAUCAUUUAGUUGGGCACUCUAAGGAGACUGCCGGUGACAAACCGGAGGAAGGUGGGGAUGACGUCAAGUCACCAUGGCCCUUACGGCCUGGGCUACAAACGUGCUACAAUGGUCGGUACAAAGGGUUGCGAACCCGCGAGGGGGAGCCAAUCCCAAAAAGCCGACCUCAGUACGGAUAGGAGUCUGCAACUCGACUCCUUGAAGUCGGAAUCGCUAGUAAUCGCUGAUAAUCUCUAGAGGUCCCC